CCUACGGGGGGCUGCAGUGGGGAAUAUUGGACAAUGGGGCAACCCUGAUCCAGCCAUGCCGCGUGUGUGAAGAAGGCCCUCGGGUUGUAAAGCACUUUCAGUGAGGAAGAACGCCUGGUGGUUAAUACCCAUCAGGAAAGACAUCACUCACAGAAGAAGCACCGGCUAACUCCGUGCCAGCAGCCGCGGUAAUACGGAGGGUGCGAGCGUUAAUCGGAAUUACUGGGCGUAAAGCGCGCGUAGGUGGCUUGAUAAGCCGGUUGUGAAAGCCCCGGGCUCAACCUGGGAACGGCAUCCGGAACUGUCAAGCUAGAGUGCAGGAGAGGAAGGUAGAAUUCCCGGUGUAGCGGUGAAAUGCGUAGAGAUCGGGAGGAAUACCAGUGGCGAAGGCGGCCUUCUGGACUGACACUGACACUGAGGUGCGAAAGCGUGGGUAGCAAACAGGAUUAGAUACCCCGGUAGUC
Molecule: ribosomal RNA, 464 nt
Filed under: Vreelandella stevensii
Lineage: Bacteria; Pseudomonadati; Pseudomonadota; Gammaproteobacteria; Oceanospirillales; Halomonadaceae
Description: partial 16S ribosomal RNA
Rfam family: Bacterial small subunit ribosomal RNA
Source: RNAcentral